This 1150-nucleotide ribosomal RNA is filed under the name Rhizoctonia solani. Its description in RNAcentral is "eukaryotic LSU rRNA". The stretch from base 226 to 379 matches the Rfam family "5.8S ribosomal RNA". The record is from RNAcentral. Lineage: Eukaryota; Fungi; Basidiomycota; Agaricomycetes; Cantharellales; Ceratobasidiaceae.
UUGCUUGGCGGGUUCUGAGGAGUUGAGUUGUUGCUGGCCUUUUCUACCUUAAUUUGGCAGGAGGGGCAUGUGCACACCUUCACUUUCAUCCAUCACACCCCCUGUGCACUUGUGAGACAGCAAUAGUUGGUGGAUUUAAUUCCAUCAUCCAUUUGCUGUCUACUUAAUUUACACACACUCUACUUAAUUUAAACUGAAUGUAAUUGAUGUAACGCAUCUAAUACUAAGUUUCAACAACGGAUCUCUUGGCUCUCGCAUCGAUGAAGAACGCAGCGAAAUGCGAUAAGUAAUGUGAAUUGCAGAAUUCAGUGAAUCAUCGAAUCUUUGAACGCACCUUGCGCUCCUUGGUAUUCCUUGGAGCAUGCCUGUUUGAGUAUCAUGAAAUCUUCAAAGUAAACCUUUUGUUAAUUCAAUUGGUCUUUUUUACUUUGGUUUUGGAGGAUCUUAUUGCAGCUUCACACCUGCUCCUCUUUGUGCAUUAGCUGGAUCUCAGUGUUAUGCUUGGUUCCACUCGGCGUGAUAAGUUAUCUAUCGCUGAGGACACCCGUAAAAAAGGUGGCCAAGGUAAAUGCAGAUGAACCGCUUCUAAUAGUCCAUUGACUUGGACAAUAUUCUAUUUUAUGAUCUGAUCUCAAAUCAGGUAGGACUACCCGCUGAACUUAAGCAUAUCAAUCAGCGGAGGGAAGAAAAUUAUUGAAUUUUAUUAAUGAGGAGUUGAGUUGUUGCUGGCUUUUCUACUUAAUUUGGCAGGAGGGGCAUGUGCACACCUCUCUUCAUCAUCACACCCCCGUGCACUUGUGAGACAGCAAUAGUUGGUGGAUUUAAUUCAUCACCAUUGCUGUCUACUAAUUUACCACACUCUACUUAAUUUAACUGAAGUAAUGAUGUACGCACUAACAAAUUUCACAACGGACUUGGGCUUGCACGUAAAAGCACGAAUGCGAUAAGUAAUGUGAUUGCAAAUCAUGAUACGACCUGAGACCUGCGCUCUGGUAUUCUGGACAGCAUUGAGAUAAGAACUCAAGAUACAUUGGUAUCCUGGCUUUAAUGAGUGAGAAACAUAGACUACACGCUUGGUCUAAACGAGGAAUCAGUUAAAUCUGGUCCGUAAUCUGGGGAACUAAAUGCGUAUAAACCUAACGCGGCAAAU